This 246-nucleotide ribosomal RNA is filed under the name uncultured bacterium. RNAcentral describes it as "partial small subunit ribosomal RNA". It matches the Rfam family "Bacterial small subunit ribosomal RNA", at positions 26 to 286 of the family's 1533-position model. The record is from RNAcentral.
AGAAUCAACGCUGGCGGCGUGCCUAACACAUGCAAGUCGAACGAGAAAGGGUAGCAAUACCUGAGUAAAGUGGCGCACGGGUGAGUAACACGUGACUAACCUACCCUGGAGUGGGGGAUAACUGAGGGAAACCUUAGCUAAUACCGCAUAAUACCUACGGGUCAAAGGAGCAAUUCGCUUCAGGAGGGGGUCGCGGCCGAUUAGUUAGUUGGCGGGGUAAUGGCCCACCAAGACGAUGAUCGGUAU